Molecule: long non-coding RNA, 748 nt
Organism: Rhododendron vialii
Lineage: Eukaryota; Viridiplantae; Streptophyta; Magnoliopsida; Ericales; Ericaceae
Exons: 2
Source: RefSeq, a predicted model, not a curated record
AAAAAAAAAACGUUCGAGAGAGAAAAAAAAAGAAAGAGGCGGGGAGAGAAAGAGAACGGGGAAGAGAGGAAGAGCGAAUUAGCGGUAACAGAAGUUCUAGUCUCAAUAGGUUCGGAAGCGGCAACGAGCAACGUUACUCCACGUAGGGAGUGAGCUCGUGUUAGUACUUUUGGCUAGACCUCAAGGUGGGUGUUCUUAUUUUUAAUAGCGGAAGAUGAGACACAGUGUAGAGUUAUUUUUCGUAUUGAAAUGGUUAAUAUUUGGCUUGAGCUCCUAAGCGAGAAUAUGGUCGAAGCCUUAGUGGCGUUAUAAUAUGGCCUUAGUGGCGUUAUUGAAUAUUGCCUUAGUGGCGUGGAUAAAUAUUGCCUUAGUGGCGUGACGACUCUUGCCUUAGUGGCGUAAAGAGUAUUGCCUUAGUGGCGUAAAUAUGGAAAUUGCCUUAGUGGCGUCAUGAGUAUUAAGUAAUGGAAUGUUAUUGUGAGGCUGAAUAUUCUUGUUUUAAAAUUGUUUGGAUAAGUACAUUCACUGAGCAAGUUGAUAGUUCACACCCCUACAGUGUUUUCUUUUCAGAGGUGUGACGGCACGCGGGUCCACUGCAGAGUCUAGAUAGGAGUUGUGUAUAUAAUAGUCUAGCUUUUUGACUCUUUUGAUUAUGUGCCCAUUUUUGGAGCUUGUAUAUGUUGUAAGUACAUGUGGCACGUCUUGUAUGACAGUUAUUUCCGUAUAUAUGCAAGUUAAGUUUUUUUUU